Molecule: long non-coding RNA, 1565 nt
Organism: Stegostoma tigrinum
Lineage: Eukaryota; Metazoa; Chordata; Chondrichthyes; Orectolobiformes; Stegostomatidae
Exons: 3
Source: RefSeq, a predicted model, not a curated record
GGCGCGAUGUUGCUGUUGCUGCUUGCCGGAAGCGUGGAAUCGGUAAAGUAGGGGAAAGCAAUGUAGUUAAUGUGGACUGGGAGGUUUCAUAAACGACUGGCGUACAAUUGUAGAUCUGAAUUUCAAGCUUCAGGUCCUGGUAGCAAAUCGGAAAAGGGCUGCGGACCGUGAGUCACCGUCGCUCUCUUUCUUGGGGACGAUGGAUGAGAGUUGAUUUGAUAGAGGUUACAAGAUGAUGAGAGGCAUAGAUGGAGUGAAAGCCAAAGACUUUUUCCCAGGGCGGAAAUUACUAUUUCGAGGGGGCAUAAUUUUAAGGCGAUUGGAGGAAGUCGUGAGAUGUCAGAGCAAAUUGCUGCAGUUGCUGGAAUCUCUCUGGAAAACGACAAAUGCUGGUGAUCAAGACAAGUCAUGGAGAGAGAGUUGAUUCACGGUUAGAGAAUUCAAACAAUGCCACAUCCAGAUCUGACAGUCACUCUGUUUCUCAAACUAUAAAUAUCUCAGGAUUUUGGACCAUAAAGGAAAAAGCACCAGUCACACAGAGGAGAAAGAGCUUAUCUGUAUGUGGAGGGAAGUUUUUGUGAAGAUUUAUCUGAAAUGUCAAAACACUGGUGCAGUCUGAACAGAGAGACUGAUGAAAUGCAGGGAUUAUGGGAAGGCAUUACUUUAACCUUCCCAAAUUCAUCAGCGCCAUCACACUGGAGAGAGACCAUUCACCUGCUCUGAUUGUGGGAAGGGAUUCACUGCAUCAUCCAACCCACUGAAACACCAGCAAAUUCACACUGGGAAGAAAUUAUUCACUAGUUCUGAAUAUGGGAAAGGAUUCACUCGCUCAUCUAAACUGCUGACACACCAACAAGUUCACACUGGAGAGAGAGCAUUUGCCUGCUCCAAUUGUGAGAAAGCCUUCAUUCACUUAUCCCACCUGUUGAUACAGCACCAUGUUCACACUGGGGAGAAACCGUUCACCUGCUCCCAGCAUGGGAAGAGAUUCACUUUGUCACCUAAACCGGUGAAACACCAACAGGUUUACACUGGAGUGAAAUCAUUUACAUGCUCUGAUUGUGGGAAACGAUUCAGUCAGUCAUCCAGCAUACUGAGACACCAACGAGUUCACGCUGGGGAGAAACUGAGCUGACUGUGGGAAGGGAUUUAUGAAGUCAAACCAUUUGCUGAAACACCAGCAAAUUCACACUAGAGAAAGAUUAUUCACCUGCGAUGUAUGUUGAAAGAGAUUCACUCUGUCAAACUGUUAACACCAGUUAAUUUAUUCUGGAUUGAUACUGUUCACCUGCAUUUUGUGAAAAAGGCCCUGCUGUUUGCUAACACCAGCGAAUUCACAAAGAAGCACUCUUGAAGAAUUUCACUCUUACUCACACCAUGUAAUGAAAUGUAGUCAUUUGUACUAAUGUUAUUAAAUUCUGCUGUAUUAAGUGCUUAGAUUAAAUGUAUUAAAUUAAUGUAGAUUAAAAAGUAAAUAUAACUGUGUAUCUGCAGGGCACAUUUUGGAAUUGAUCAUAACAUUGUUGUACUUCCAGUUCAUGCUGAGUAAAGAUUCUCUGACUGCA